AGCAGGGCUCCCCCACCUCGCGCGCCGGCAACAGGGGGCGGGGGGAGCGCUGCUCGGGGCUGCCUCUUAAAAGGGCGACGCCGGGGUCCGGAAGUGCCGCGCGGGGAGGCGGGCGUCGGUCGCGCGCCGCGAGCUCCGCCGGGACGCCCCGUUAGGAGAGAGUUAAAGGAGGCCGGUUCUUAAAAGGGCAACGGCGCCGCAGCCCCGCGCGGGCCGGCGCGGCGGGGAUGGGAGCCCCGGGAGCUUCUUUNGUCUGAUCCGAGCCAGGAGCUGUCAACUCUGGCGCCUCUGUCCUCCGCUCCCGACCGUCCGAAGUGACCGGGGCAGUAGCAGCAGCGGCUGCGGCCCGCAGGCCUAGUAUACCCCCCAAAGUGGGGGUGACGACGCGCGCGUGUCCUCGCGUGUGCUCGCCCCGCUCCACGUACCUUCCGAGCGGGUCUCGUGGACCCCUUCGCUCCCAGUGGGCCGGGCCCCCAUCCCGCACCGGCAGCAAAGGAGCCUGGAACCCUCCCUCACUCCGCUGACAGCCGGUCGCGCCCCCUCACCGCNCGGCCCCGCCCCGGCUGGCCUUCGGGGCUCUGCGGAAACCCUCCCGAUUCCCUUCCUUAUUCUCUUAGAGCCCGGGUCACGCUGCGCAGACCUUUCAGAGUUCCUGGGGCAGAGCCACGCGCUGAGCUGGGCUCUCCAGACUCGCCUUCCACCGUAGUCCUCAGGUGCGCAGCAGGUCCCUCAUCCUGCUUUUCGGGGCUUCCGACUUCCAGCUUUGGGUUUGAUUUGGACGCAAGGAACUGCCCUGAACUGGUGGCUCUCGGACCUCUCCCCUUCUCGGAUUCCCUCUGGGCCUCAGAGUCUGGGCUGUUGUUCCUCCUCUGCGCCUUCCCUUAUGAGGUGUGAGUCUGCCACUAGCAGUGGUCAACUGGAUGCGAUUUCCAGGAAUACCCUAGCCUGCCUUUGUACUUCUGAGAAAUUUUAAGGACAUCCAAAAUUUGGGAUGUUAAUUGCCUUUUGUGGGCUGAUGGGGAAAAGACAACUACUCCUUCCCCAUCCUGCUCCCAGGGUGGCCUGUUAAGUUAAAAUCUCUGAAUUGUCUCUGGAUGUUGUCCUCUCUUCUCUCCCCUGCUUUUUGGUCUUCCCGACAGAACUGAUCAGAUCAACUAUACCAAGGUGAAUUAUUUUGAAAGAUUCCAGGUAAGGCCAACCCAAAGCCUCCUUCCAUCCUCUUUCUUUGAGUGUACUCCAUAUUAAGUAAACUUCUUUCUUCUUGCUUGGUUCCCAGUGGGGUAGGUGAACAGCAUGUCACUCUUUUCCAUGCUAAGGAAUAAAUAUACUUAAAGCCCUUACUGAAUUCGUCUC
This 1353-nucleotide long non-coding RNA is filed under the name Vulpes vulpes (red fox). Its description in RNAcentral is "lncRNA (ENSVVUG00000026573.1)". Lineage: Eukaryota; Metazoa; Chordata; Mammalia; Carnivora; Canidae. The record is from RNAcentral.